GAUUUGCCCGUUUUGGACACUUUCUAGUAUGAAGCCACAAACGCGUGUAGCCUUCCGUGCUUGUUUCUCGUGUGCCAGGGCCUUGCUCCUGUUGGGGCCUCACAGUACUCUAGCCUGUGGGUAGAUAGACCCUGCUGUGUUCACCAUCUGUCCAUGCGCAGAUGUCCUCAGCUGGCUCAUCCGAGUGAGCUGUGUUUGCUCUUGUGUGGUGCCUGAGGUACAGAGUAGGGAAGGCCAGGAGGGCUCCUCAGUGAGACCGAUGUCUGCUCAGCCAAGUCUCCAUAGCAGGAGCACAGGCACACCUUCCACGCCCAGAAGUAGCCCGAGGAUGGCCCUUCACUCUCAUGGUGACAAGGCGUUAGGCAGUCUCCAUGACGCUGGGGCUCCAAUCCUCCCUGUGGCACCCCAGGCUGAGUGCUUGGAGGAGGGCCGUGGUUAUUUCAGGCCAUCAAGGACAAGGGAAGUGACACAGUCCUCCCCCUGCUGGGUCCCCCCCUCCUCAGGGAGUGUAGGUGACCCGGCAUCUUCUGUCAUUUGCAGAGCCGACAGCUCCUUUAACUUCAUGGCAUUCUUCUUCAUCUUUGGAGCCCAGUUUGUGCUGACUGUCAUUCAGGCCAUCGGCUUCUCGGGCUGGGGCGCGUG
This 642-nucleotide long non-coding RNA is filed under the name Rattus norvegicus (Norway rat). RNAcentral's name for it is "long non-coding RNA NONRATT026493". The record is from RNAcentral. Lineage: Eukaryota; Metazoa; Chordata; Mammalia; Rodentia; Muridae.